GGGCAGUUAGCUUAGUGGUAGAGCAUUUCGUUUACACCGAAGAGGCCAGCGGUUCGAUCCCGUUACUGCCUA
Molecule: transfer RNA, 72 nt
Filed under: Ancoracysta twista
Lineage: Eukaryota; Nebulidia; Nebulidea; Nebulidida; Ancoracystidae
Description: tRNA-Val
Rfam family: tRNA
About the family: Transfer RNA (tRNA) molecules are approximately 80 nucleotides in length. Their secondary structure includes four short double-helical elements and three loops (D, anti-codon, and T loops).
Source: RNAcentral